RNAcentral lists this ribosomal RNA (253 nucleotides) under uncultured prokaryote. RNAcentral describes it as "partial 16S ribosomal RNA". It matches the Rfam family "Bacterial small subunit ribosomal RNA", at positions 525 to 777 of the family's 1533-position model. The record is from RNAcentral.
ACGGGGGGAGCAAGCGUUGUUCGGAAUUACUGGGCGUAAAGCGCGCGUAGGCGGUGAUCUUUGUCAGAGGUGAAAUCCCGAGGCUCAACUUCGGAAUUGCCUUUGAAACGGGAUCGCUUGAGUCCGAGAGAGGAUGGCGGAAUUCCUAGUGUAGAGGUGAAAUUCGUAGAUAUUAGGAAGAACACCGGUGGCGAAGGCGGCCAUCUGGCUCGGUACUGACGCUCAGGCGCGAAAGCGUGGGGAGCAAACAGGA